GCGAAAGCAUUUGCCAAGAAUGUUUUCAUUAAUCAAGAACGAAAGUUGGAGGCGCGAAGGCGAUCAGAUACCGCCGUAGUUCCAACCGUAAACGAUGCCAACUGGUCAUUGGCGGUUCUUCGUCGCAAGAAGCCGCCAGCAGCGCCCGGGAAACCAAAGUCAUUGGGUUCCGGGGGGAGUAUGGUUGCAAAGCUGAAACUUAAAGGAAUUGACGGAAGGGCACCACCAGGAGUGGAGCUUGCGGCUUAAUUUGACUCAACACGGGAAACCUCACCCGGCCCGGACACUGUUAUGACAGACAGAUUGAGAGCUCUUUCUCGAUUCGGUGGUUGGUGGUGCAUGGCCGUUCUUAGUUCGUGGAGCGAUUUGUCUGGUUAAUUCCGAUAACGAACGAGACGCACGCCUGCUAAAUAGACGACGCUGGCUCCGGUCGGCGAUCGAUCUCGCUUCUUAGAGGGACAAGCGGCGCCCAGCCGCGUGAAGCUGUGCGCAAUAACAGGUCUGUGAUGCCCUUAGAUGUUCGGGGCCGCACGCGCGCUACACUGUCGGCAUCAGCGUGACACCCGCGUCGAGAGGCGCGGGCAACCCGUUGAACCGUCGACGUGCUAGGGAUCGGGGCUUGCAAUUGUUCCCCGUGAACGAGGAAUUCCUUGUAGAGGCGCGUCAUCAGCGCGCCUCGAAUCCGUCCCUGCCCUUUGUACACACCGCCCGUCGCUACUACCGAUCGAAUGGAUUAGUGAGGCCUCCGGACUGCUGCUCGACCGCUUCACGGCGUCGGCGCGGCGGAAAGUGGGACGAACUUGCUCAUUUAUAGGAAGUAAAAGUCGUAACAAGGUUUUCGUAGGUGAACCUGCGGAAGGAUC
RNAcentral lists this ribosomal RNA (863 nucleotides) under Callopora sp. XJ-2008. RNAcentral's name for it is "SSU rRNA". It matches the Rfam family "Eukaryotic small subunit ribosomal RNA", at positions 945 to 1827 of the family's 1831-position model. The record is from RNAcentral. Lineage: Eukaryota; Metazoa; Bryozoa; Gymnolaemata; Cheilostomatida; Calloporidae.